Molecule: ribosomal RNA, 754 nt
Filed under: uncultured bacterium
Lineage: Bacteria
Description: bacterial SSU rRNA
Rfam family: Bacterial small subunit ribosomal RNA
Source: RNAcentral
GGGGAAUAUUGCACAAUGGGCGAAAGCCUGAUGCAGCGACGCCGCGUGAGGGAUGACGGCCUUCGGGUCUGUAAACCUCUUUCAGUAGGGAACAAGGCCAGCAUUUUUGUUGGUUGAGGGUACUUGCAGAAGAAGCGCCGGCUAACUACGUGCCAGCAGCCGCGGUAAUACGUAGGGCGCAAGCGUUAUCCGGAAUUAUUGGGCGUAAAGAGCUCGUAGGCGGUUUGUCGCGUCUGCCGUGAAAGUCCGGGGCUCAACUCCGGAUCUGCGGUGGGUACGGGCAGACUAGAGUGAUGUAGGGGAGACUGGAAUUCCUGGUGUAGCGGUGAAAUGCGCAGAUAUCAGGAGGAACACCGAUGGCGAAGGCAGGUCUCUGGGCAUUAACUGACGCUGAGGAGCGAAAGCAUGGGGAGCGAACAGGAUUAGAUACCCUGGUAGUCCAUGCCGUAAACGUUGGGCACUAGGUGUGGGGGACAUUCCACGUUUUCCGCGCCGUAGCUAACGCAUUAAGUGCCCCGCCUGGGGAGUACGGCCGCAAGGCUAAAACUCAAAGGAAUUGACGGGGGCCCGCACAAGCGGCGGAGCAUGCGGAUUAAUUCGAUGCAACGCGAAGAACCUUACCAAGGCUUGACAUGAACUGGAAAUACCUGGAAACAGGUGCCCCGCUUGCGGUCGGUUUACAGGUGGUGCAUGGUUGUCGUCAGCUCGUGUCGUGAGAUGUUGGGUUAAGUCCCGCAACGAGCGCACCCUCGUU